RNAcentral lists this long non-coding RNA (2406 nucleotides) under Lactuca sativa (garden lettuce). RNAcentral describes it as "long non-coding RNA (LSAT_LNC006323)". Lineage: Eukaryota; Viridiplantae; Streptophyta; Magnoliopsida; Asterales; Asteraceae. The record is from RNAcentral.
UCCUAAUUUUUUAUUUGAAAUGGAAUAAAAAUUAAAAAUAAUACAAUAAGGAUAAUAAAUAGAAAACACAAAAUCACUACUUCGAUUUAAAUUUGUCUAACCACCAUAUUCUUAAUAUUUGAAAUACAAAUGUACUCAUAAAAGUUUAAUAGAUCUAAAUAUUGUGCUAAUACUCAAAACAUAAUCCUAUCGAUCUAAAUACUUGUUGGUGAAGCGAUAGUAAUGCUCCAUCUCCAUGGACUUCCAUUUCUUGCUCUCUUUCUUGUUCACUUCCUUUGAAACCUGAAAUUAGAAAGGAGACAUAAAUGUUAACCAAAGAAAACCGAUCCAUGAAGCUAUUAGUGUCUAGUACUCGAACCAUCUUUGUCAAGAAUAAUGACAACAUGAAGUAGAAAAAAAAACAGGGAGUUUUGUCAAAUAAUUUUUAGCAUAACAUAUAUCUUUCUCAUAAAAGCUUUUUUUUACAAAAAAAAAAAANAUAUAUUUUUUUCAAAAAAAAGUUUUUUUAAAAAAAAAAAAAAAAAAAAAAAAAAAAAAGUUUAUUUUUUUCCAAACCAAAGGGCAAAAUAUUCCAAUCAAGAUAUGAUUUUACAAAGAAGAAACAAAAAUUGGAAGAAAGGCAUUUGACAUUGCCACUGUGAUCAUUUGUUUGUUCUAAUUUCCUACAAGUCAUGUCAAACAUUUUUUAGCAUGACAUAUAUCUUUCUCAAUAAUAAAAAUUUGCUUUUGCAUUGGUAUAGGGGAAUCAUUAGGGAUAAAUACAUACGUAUAAUUUGAAAAAAUGAUUGACCAGUUAGCAUGUGAGCUUUAAAUUACGGUACAGGGAGUUGAUUUUGAUUCUUUUGUUUUUACAAAAAAGCAUAAUUGUUUCUUUAGUAACUACAGACCAUAAUAAGAAAAAUGAUUUUAGAUGAAACAUGAGCAAAAAAAAAAACACUAAUAACAAAAAAAAAAAACAACAAUAACACUUUUGACUUUCAAUAUAAUUAGACGUACAAAGUAACUCAAACUCACAAAAAAAUAUUAAUAGCAAAACUAUUACUGAUUUCGUUCUCAUAUAAAAACACUUAGGACCAUAAAGAUUCAAAACACCAAUACCAUGUUUAAUAGAGCAACUUAGGAAAAAACAAUUGAAAAACAAUGACAUAUACAGAAGCAUUUAAUAACAUCACCAAACAAAAUCAAUCAUGUCACAAUGGAUAACAUUAAUAACAUUGUAAAACCAACCAGUCAUGUCUCAACAAGUUAUGGAAUUAUUUGGCUCAUCAUAAUUAAUACUUCUACACACAUACAUACAUAUUUACUCAAAUACCACAUAAAAACAAAGUUCAAUAACUAUAUGUCAGAGAUCCUAAGCAAUAUGUACAAAAACAAAUGAAUGAUUAUUGAGGAAGAAGGAAAUAAUAACAACAGAAACGAGGCAGGGGCAUAAGCAACAAAAGCUAAGACGCAGGAAAAAUCAUGGUUGAGGAAGGAAGCAUAUAAUAGCAGUGAAAUGAAACUAAUAAGAUUGUAAAUCAUGUGUUUACCUGUGAGGUUGCAGGGACGAAGGUUGAAGAAGCUGUUGAACGGCACAAAAUCUUGUAUGUGAUACAUUUUUUGGUUUACGUCGUCCAAUAUCUCCACCUACAAGUUGAAAAAAAUCAUCAUCAUAAUAAAGUUAAAAUUAGGUGUCAUCUUCUAACUCGUUUAACCAAUUAAGAUCAUUUUACAUCUAAGCCAGAGACAAGAACUAGAUACGUGGAGGACUCAAAAGACAAAGGGUAGGGUUUAAUCACCACCAUCGAUUACACAUAUUAUCAUUUAAACCGAAAUAUGGAUUAACAAUUUAAUAUUUUAGGAAAAAACUAAGAACAAAAUUAUGAAUUUAAACUAUUCACAAAAUUUUAGUUCAUAAACGCUAAUCCAGGUAACUGAAAGAAAUAGAACCUUGUUGAACUUGGGUAACAGGGUCGUUCCAACACACCAGAAAAUACCAGAUCAUCCUUGAUGAAAAGAAAUAAAUCACAAAGAUGCAAUCAAUAAAAACCAGAAAAUACAUGAACACAAACAACUUACGUUUCAUAAUUGUAAAUGGGAGGGAUCCAACUGCAAGCCCUAAUUGGAACUCAGAUUUUUCAUCUCCUAACAACAAGCCCUAAUGGAACUCAAAAAAAUUAACAGAGGAUUGGAGAUGAUUGAGCGAAGCUGCCGAAAGUACUCGCCAAAUAUUCUUAUGAACGAAUGGAAACCGAGUAGAGAUCCACGAGAAUUCGAGCAAGGAUUGGAACUAGGGAAGGAAUGGAGAUUAGGGUAUAUGAUCGAGACCAGUCUUUUUUUCUUUCUAAUUUUUAAGUUUAAGGUGGGCAAAAUGCUCUAUUAAUGAUGGGGGAAAAUAGGAGCGGGCAACUUGAAAUUAGAAUUUUU